UCGAUGGUAUGUACUCAGAGGUGAUGAUCUAAAUACAUAUAUUAUGUAAGCAAUGUUGUUUAUGUCAUCUGAUAUGUUAGCGACUCAAUGCCUCCUUCUAUGCUUUCUGUCUAUCGUGGAUAUGCUUGUUCCUAGUCUAGUUCUAGAUUAAACUAUCUAGCAUGCUUGGUGUAAUCAUGGUGAUUAGAUCUAGUAUGUCGAUCCUUCAUGAUAGCUAGACAUGGUUCACCUAUUUUCGUGCCCUUAAACUACCUGCACUGAUAGGAGGGAUUGUGAUGGGGUUUGCUUCUGUGUAAGGUGGGGGUUUUUUGGAGGUUGGCCGGAGGUAGUAGUUUAAAGAUUGCUUUGGAUGAGAUGCAUGAUAUGCUCGCUUGUUAGCUAGAUCCACAACUAGAAGAUGAUAGGCUCUUGUUACGCUUGGUUAUGCUAUUUGAUAUGUAUCUGUAGAUGUG
Molecule: long non-coding RNA, 452 nt
Filed under: Setaria viridis
Lineage: Eukaryota; Viridiplantae; Streptophyta; Magnoliopsida; Poales; Poaceae
Description: long non-coding RNA (SVIR_LNC008884)
Source: RNAcentral